This 332-nucleotide long non-coding RNA is filed under the name Serinus canaria (Common canary). Its description in RNAcentral is "lncRNA (ENSSCAG00000008015.1)". Lineage: Eukaryota; Metazoa; Chordata; Aves; Passeriformes; Fringillidae. The record is from RNAcentral.
CUGCUUUGAAGCCUGUCAGCCCCUCUGCAGAGCACCUCUCCUGUUAGGAAUUGCUGUCCUGGAGAACAAUGGCUGGGAGCAGGGUGAGGGGCAGCCUUUGAUCCCACCUGGCACGUGUCCCAACGGGGCCUGCUCAUGGGCACUGCUGGGUUUUGGCAUUUCUGAUCAUAUCACACUGAAGCACAGGAACUGUGCUUUGCUUGCUACCCCAGAUGACAAUUUAUGAGCAAAUGCCCAUUCCAACAGGCAUGGUUCAAGCUGAUGGAAAUGUUGUCAGUGCUGCUCAAAUGGUGAAGCUGCACACAAACAUGGGCAUGGGAUUGAGAAAGUGA